Molecule: long non-coding RNA, 969 nt
Organism: Centruroides sculpturatus (bark scorpion)
Lineage: Eukaryota; Metazoa; Arthropoda; Arachnida; Scorpiones; Buthidae
Exons: 4
Source: RefSeq, a predicted model, not a curated record
GAUAAAAAUUAAAUAUUUUAUCAUGUAUUAUAUAUUAUUUCAAUUAAUUGAUGUCUCAAAUUUUAUCUUAAACAUGAUUAUGGAGAACAAAGUAUAAACAAAGGACAUUCCAUUAAAGUAUCGAAUUCGUUCUUUUUCGCUUACAUAAAGUGUCAUAUUAACUAAUAAUGUUACUAUUAAUUCAAUCCAAAAUAUAUAUUUAAUUAAAAUAAUAGCAACAUGAAAAGAUUUUGCAUUAAUUUAUGUAUAUUACAAAGACACGUGAGCCCCCGAAUGAACAUUGUUAAACUUUCAUUCAGCUUGAAUCUAGACUGGUGGUGUUAAUAAAUUUGACGUUUUAUUACCUGAAUUAAUUUAUUAUCAAUAAUUAAAUAAAUUAUCAUAAUUUAUUACAAGUUUAGUAUUUUAUGUAUGUUAUACUACUUGUAUUCUUUGCAAAUUAGUUUUUCUUAUAGGAAAAAAAAAACUUAUAUUUUUAGGCGUGUGUUCACGUUACUCUAAUUUGAUUCAUUGUGUUAAAGAGUGGCGAAUUCACAAAUUUUUAGUAAUUCUACCUUUACUGUCAUAAUGAAAUGUUCAUCAUUUAUUCAAAGGAUAAAUGCAACAAUAGUUUCUAUAAUAAUAAUCUUUCUCAAUGUUUCUAGAUAGGAUCAUUUGUUGCAGUAAAUGAGCUGUAUUCUGUUUUCUACAAAAGACGACAAAAAUGAAAGAACUACCAUUUAUUGGAAUUUGAAAUGAAAAAAAAAAUUCAAUUUUCUAUCACUUUUUAUAAGAAUUUUAAUUUUGGUGGGAUUACUAAAGGAGAAAGAAGGACGGAGACUCCUCAAGCAAAAAUCGAACCCAUGCUCUCCGGUGCAAUUAGACGUCAAUUGGCCGAUCAUGAGACGAAAUAAUGUUUUCUUAGGACAUUGUUGCUGUUUAAUUUAGUUAAAGCACAUAGAGUCAAUAAAGUUCGAGUCGACAAAGAAG